GUGUGCAUUAAUGUGAGUUUGUGAGUUGUAUAAAGAAGCAACUGUGAGAUAACAUCUGAACACAAGAUUACAAGAACAGUUUAGAAGUUUUUUUCUUUCUUAAAAUUCUCUCUUUUAAGUAGUCAAAGUUUGGAACUUGAACACCAUCAAAUUCAUCAAUUUUACUCCAACUUGUCUAAAAAUCUAAUCCUUUUAUCUCUAUAAUAAACCAAAUCUUGAUAUAUCAAUAACUCGAAUUCAUAUAUAUAUAUACAUUAAUUGAUCUCUCUGUUACAGACAAUUGUCAAAAAAAUAGAAAACAUGAAGGUUAGUUUUCUGAUCCUUUGUAUUUAGUUCGAUCAUAUAUAUGAUAUAUAAAGGUUCCAUUGAAUUUUUUUUCCUCAGAUGAUUUCUGAAGUGUUUUCUUCUGGCUUUUGUUUUCAGUUCUUUGGGUGGAUGCAGAACAAGCUUAAUGGGGAUCAUAACAGAACAAGCACUUCCUCUGCUUCUUCUCAUCAUGUGAAGCAAGAGCCAAGAGAGGAGUUUAGAGACUGGCCUCACGCGUUGCUCGCUAUUGGAACGUUUGGUACAACAAGCAAUAGUGUGAGCGAAAACGAGAGCAAGAAUGUUCAUGAAGAGAUUGAAGCGGAGAAGAAGUGUACCGCAAAAUCCGAGCAAGAAGAAGAGCCUUCUUCUUCUGUCGAUCUUGAAGAUUUCACUCCUGAGGAGGUUGGAAAGUUGCAGAAGGAGUUGAUGAAGCUCUUGUCAAGAACUAAGAAAAGGAAGUCUGAUGUGAAUAGAGAGCUCAUGAAAAAUCUUCCUUUGGAUAGAUUCUUGAACUGUCCAUCGAGUUUAGAGGUCGAUAGGCGAAUCAGCAAUGCACUUAGCGCUGUUGUGGAUUCGUCUGAGGAGAAUAAGGAGGAAGAUAUGGAGCGAACGAUUAGCGUUAUUCUAGGUAGAUGCAAAGAGAUAUCAAUAGAGAGUAAGAAGAAUAAGAAGAAGAGAGACAUAAGCAAGACCUCUGUCUCAUAUCUUUUCAAGAAGAUUUUCGUCUGCGCAAAUGGGAUUUCUACAGCCCCAAGCCCUAGCCUGAGAGACACGCUUCAAGAAUCAAGAAUGGAGAAGUUGUUGAAGAUGAUGCUCCAUAAGAAGAUUAAUGCUCAAGCCUCCUCGAAACCAACAUCAUCGACAACAAAGAGAUACUUGGAAGACAAGAAACAGCUCUCAUUGAAGAGUGAAGAAGAAGAAGAAACUAGCGAAAGAAGAAGUAGUGGCGACGGAUAUAAAUGGGUCAAAACAGAUUCUGAUUGUGAGUUUUCAUCAGAUCCUUAUUAUUUUAGUAAAACUCAAAAACAAACAACUAAUUCGAUCUUCUUUUGAUUACAGUCAUAGUUCUUGAGAUCUGAUCAAACCUUCAUCAUUCAAGCUCUUGCAAAAUCUUUUCCAAGUACAGGAAUCAAAUCUUCUCGAGAAAAUUUAAAGAAAUAAUGUAAUGAGUCUCCCAUUUCCGAGGAAAUUUUUGGUGCAUAUGCAAGUUAAGCCAUGGAGUUUCAGAAUGUUUGUUAACUUCUUUUUUGCAUGAUUUGAUCUGUGGGAAUUUGGGUCCAUAGAACCAAAACAUGUUCUUGAAAUUGCGUACAUGUGUAGAUAUGUAUAUGAAAUGUCAGAGUGUAUACAUACAUACAUGUGUGCGUGUGAUUUGUGUAAUUUUAAGGUGGAUAACCUCAGCUUAUAAAGAUUCUUCUUUGUUA
Molecule: RNA transcript, 1730 nt
Organism: Arabidopsis lyrata subsp. lyrata
Lineage: Eukaryota; Viridiplantae; Streptophyta; Magnoliopsida; Brassicales; Brassicaceae
Exons: 4
Source: RefSeq, a predicted model, not a curated record